GAUUGUCAAGAUUAGCCAUGCAUGCCUCAGUAUAAGCUCCAACAUGGCAAAGCUGCAGAUGGCUCAUUUAAUCAGUGGUUGUGCAUAUGAGUAUACUUUGUACAUGGAUACAUGUGGAAAAUCUAGAACUAAUGCAUGUGCAACUGCCCAACUGUGGGGACAAGGCUUUAUUUUCUAGUAGUGGAGUCAACCCAGGACCCCUGGUUGUCUGGCGACUCGUGGUAACUAAAUAAAUCGCAUGGUGUGCCAGCCAGUGAUGAAUCGUUCCAGUCUCUGACCUAUCAGCUUCCGAUGGUAGGGUAUUGGCCUACCCUGGCCGUGACGGGUAACGGGGAAUUAGGGUUUGAUUCCGGAGAGGGAGCCCGAGACAGAGCUACCACAUCUAAGGAAGGCAGCAGGCGCGCAAAUUGCCCACUCCUGACACUGAGAGGUAGUGACAAGAAAUAACAAUAUAGGGCACUCAUGUCUUGUACUUGGAAUGAACGGAACCUACAUCUUUG
RNAcentral lists this ribosomal RNA (500 nucleotides) under uncultured dinoflagellate. Its description in RNAcentral is "SSU rRNA". It matches the Rfam family "Eukaryotic small subunit ribosomal RNA", at positions 32 to 535 of the family's 1831-position model. The record is from RNAcentral. Lineage: Eukaryota; Dinophyceae.